UGAACGCUGGCGGCGUGCUAACACAUGCAAGUCGAACGAGGCGUAUGCAGCGGAAGUUUCGGAGUGGAAGCAGCAUAGACCGAGUGGCGGACGGGUGAGUAACGCGUGGGGAACCUGCCCCAUUCCGGGGGAUACCAGUUGGAAACGACUGUUAAUACCGCAUAAGCGCACGGAAGGACAUCCUUCAGUGUGAAAAACUGAGAUGGAAUGGGAUGGCCCCGCGUCUGACUAGCCAGUUGGCAGGGUAACGGCCUACCAAAGCGACGAUCAGUAGCCGGCCUGAGAGGGCGACCGGCCACAUUGGGACUGAGACACGGCCCAAACUCCUACGGGAGGCAGCAGUGGGGAAUAUUGCACAAUAGGGGAAACCCUGAUGCAGCCGACGCCGCGUGAGUGAAGAAGUAUUUCGGUAUGUAAAGCUCUAUCAGCAGGGAAGAAGAUGACGGUACCUGCACAAGAAGCCCCGGCUAACUACGUGCCAGCCGCAGC
This 489-nucleotide ribosomal RNA is filed under the name uncultured bacterium. Its description in RNAcentral is "bacterial SSU rRNA". It matches the Rfam family "Bacterial small subunit ribosomal RNA", at positions 30 to 518 of the family's 1533-position model. The record is from RNAcentral.